CAGACCCUUGCCUGAGCCCAGAGUUCACCGGUGCUUGCUUUACUUCCCCCUCCCCCUUCCCCAGGGGCCUCAUAUAUUUACAGGUGACCCCAGCCCAUCUUCACAACCUCCAGCUGGAGAGAUUUGCAGGCACUGAUCAAAAUCCCGCUCAGGCACUCUGGACAGGGAUGACCACCAGGUUGGGGAUGGAAGCCAUGGGGGUCGACCGUAGCCCUCACCCCAGAAGCUGGGGCCCCGGAAGUCUGGUCCCCGAGCAGCAGCCCCUGGGUCAUCAGGAGUGUGCUGAGAUGCCCCACCCCAGCCCACUGAGUCAGGAAGCAAGCAGGAGGAGCCCAGAAGUGUCCUGGCGGCCCAGGAGCGUCUGACAAGCCCUCUAGGUGAAUUUGAUAGAGGUGAUGUCAGUGGUCUCACGAAACCACGGGCUGGAGAGGACGAAAGGCAGGAGAGGAGACUCGGGGAGUGGGAGAGCCCAUGAAGGCACGGCGGCGUUGCCUUUUGAAGGAGAGGUUGCCAAGAAGGGAAAGGAAGAAAUGAAGGAACAAGCACAGUGAGCUAAAUCCUCCCAAAGAACCACUGAGAGCCAUCACCGACAGAAGCACCUUACCAUUUCCUGCCCAGGCCGAAGCCCGGGUUGCCCUUCCCCCACUUUGCCUGCCACCGCUUGGAGGUAGGAAGCUCCCCAACACCUGGCUUUCCUAGUCCUGGGAAUCCAAGCUAUGAUAAACAGGGAUCUCUUCCCACAUUAUACCUUCCCUCAAUCAGAAGGUGCUAGCACGGAAUUUCAGUGUAUCUGAUAGAGCUUACAGAGUACUACAGAAUUUCAUAACUAGAGUUGCCUUGGCAAGAAAACAAGUAUAAUAUGUUCAUGGUAACCACAGGGCACCUGAGGCUCCAAGGAGGGGAAGUAGCUUGCUCAAGGUCAUAGUAAAUUAAGGAGCGCUCUUAGGGCUCUUCUCAAAGAACAGGGCAAACUCUUUAAGACGGUUGGAGACAUUUCCCAUAUAAUAUUUCCACUUUUACAGAGGAGAACGUUGAAGCACAGAAAGGUUAAAUGACUCACCCACGAUUGCACAGGAAGUGUUUGGCAGAGGUGGCCUUGGAUCCAAGUAGUCUUUUUUUGUUGUUUUUUUUUUUUUAAGAAUUUUUAUUUAUUUAUUUGACAGAGAGAUCACAAGUAGGCAGAGAGACAGGCAGAGAGGGGGAAGCAGGAUCUCUGCUGAGCCGAGAGCCCAAUGCGGGGCUUGAUCCCAGGACCCUGAGAUCAUGACCUGAGCUGAAAGGCAGAGGUUUAACCCACUGAGUCACCCAGGCGCCCCUGGAUCCAAGUCUUCUAACUGAAGUUCUAGUGUUCUUAGAAUCUCACCAUGCACUCUCCAAUCUACCUAACAACAAGAAGCAAAUAUUCCAGAAUAUUCUAAGGAGAUGCAGAGGGAGAAAUGAAACUACCACCCUCCGUGAUCACUUCAUUUUUUUUUUCUUGUUAUUGAAGGCACUCAAUAGACAGUCAAUGCAAUAGAAGGAAAAUUCUCUUUCUGCAAAAAUGGGAUAUUAAGUCUUUGAAGAGACCUUCCACACAGUCAAACUAUUUGAAAGAAAAUCCCCUCGGAUGACUGGGAGCUCCUACAGAAUGGAGCCUUCAGAAACCAGAGAAAUCCGUGUCUUGCAGUAGAUUCUGCAGUCAAUGUAUAGUCUUUCUGCUUGUCACCAAAUUUCUCUUCCUGGUAAUAUUUUUGGCGUUUUAAUUUUAGACAUGGGUGAGGGAGUGGGAGAGAACUUUGUUUUAAAACCUAAGUCUGACAUACAUAAGCACCAGAAUCCUAUUUGAUCUUAACAUAUUUGUUCCUCUGAGUAGAAGAGAUGGCUUUGAAAAGAGAAGGAUGGGCAAUCAUCCAGUCCUGACGACCACCUUCCUCAGAGGGGACAGCCUUCUGUUUCUGUCAGCAGAGGGUACAAGCAGGGGGUGCCCAGAAGAGGGACAGCUUGGGGAAUCUGACAGACCUAAGUUUGUGCCAGCUCUGCUCCUAACAGACUGUGGGAUCAUGGCCAAGUUCAUCAACUUCUUUGAGAUUACAGAGACCUCAAGGCUCAAGUUAAGAAACCUGCCAAAUUUUUAUCGCUUAAUAGUUUGACACCCACGUUUGUCUGACUCCAAAGCCCAGAAGGCAGGGUGCAUGGUUUCUUUUCCGUAGGAUUAUCAAUUUUACUAAGCCCCAGAGGAACACAUUCAGGGAUUGUGCCUGUAGGAAUCAUGACUAUGAAGUACCAGGAUCAAUUUCAAGCCAAUAUGUCAGAAUGGAGAUACAUAUGUGUGUGCACACAUGCGUGUAAAUAUAUCUGUAUACCCAUGCACAUAUACAUCAAGAGAUAUAACCCAUCUCCAAAUGUCCAUGAUAUGCUUCAACUGGCCACAUGGGGAAAGCUGAUAGACUUGUUACAACUCUAUUGCUAUUAUUGCUAGUUUACGAGCCACAGGAGAAUCUCAGGCUUGUGUUCUCCAAUCCCACCAGUUUUGACCUCAAAUUUUAUUAUCCAGCUUCAUCGCCCCCUUGAGCUUGUUUUGAAAAUCAAACCUUUCCCCUAUGGGCAAGAUAGGCCGAGACUGAAGACUUUGCAAACAUUCACGCUAUGUGCUUUGCAGGUGGUUUCACAGGAUUUCCAGGAAUGACUGAAAUUGAAAUACAUCAGUGAUACCCUCAAGAUGGUCCCGGAGGGCUCUGGUCCCAGGUCCUGACUCAGAGUGGCCUCUGGCUUUGGGAACACUGUAUUGCCUCUCUGUUUUGCUUCCUGCCUUGUAAAAUGGUGAGAUUGGACUA
Mustela lutreola (European mink) is the source of this 2813-nucleotide long non-coding RNA. RefSeq lists it as uncharacterized. Lineage: Eukaryota; Metazoa; Chordata; Mammalia; Carnivora; Mustelidae. The record is from RefSeq and is a predicted model, not a curated record. The transcript has 3 exons.